Molecule: ribosomal RNA, 468 nt
Filed under: uncultured bacterium
Lineage: Bacteria
Description: partial 16S ribosomal RNA
Rfam family: Bacterial small subunit ribosomal RNA
Source: RNAcentral
GACGAACGCUGGCGGCGUGCCUAACACAUGCAAGUCGAACGGAAAGGCCCUGCUUUUGCGGGGUGCCCGAGUGGCGAACGGGUGAGUAACACGUGAGUAACCUGCCCUUGACUUUGGGAUAACUUCAGGAAACUGCGGCUAAUACCGGAUAGGAGCUCCUGCUGCAUGGUGGGGGUUGGAAAGCUUCGGCGGGUGGGGAUGGACUCGCGGCUUAUCAGCUGGUUGGUGGGGUAGUGGCCUACCAAGGGUUUGACGGAUAGCCGGCCUGGGAGGGUGACCGGCCACAUUGGGACUGAGAUACGGCCCAGACUCCUACGGGAGGCAGCAGUGGGGAGUAUUGCACAGUGGGGGGGAGCCUGUUGCGGAGACGCCGCGUGCGGGAUGACGGCCUUCGGGUUGUAAACCGCUUUCGCCUGUGACGAAGCGUGAGUGACGGUAAUGGGUAAAGAAGCACCGGCUAACUACGUG